GAUGAACGCUGGCGGCGUGCCUAAUACAUGCAAGUCGAGCGAACAGACGAGGAGCUUGCUUCUCUGACGUUAGCGGCGGACGGGUGAGUAACACGUGGAUAACCUACCUAUAAGACUGGGAUAACUUCGGGAAUCCGGCGCUUAUACGGGAUAAUAUCUUGAACCGCAUGGUUCAAUAGUGAAAGUCGGUGUUGCUGGCACUUAUAGAUGGAUCUUCGCUGCAUUAGCUAGUUGUUAAGGUAACGGCUUACCAAGGCAAGGAUGCGUAGCCGACCUGAGAGGGUGGGCGGCCGCACUGGAACUGAGACACGGUCCAGACUCCUACGGGAGCCAGCAGUAGGGAAUCUUCCGCAAUGGGCGAAAGCCUGACGCAGCAACGCCGCGUGAGUGAUAAAGGUCUUCGGAUCGUAAAACUCUGUUAUUAGGGAAGAACAUAUGUGUAAGUAACUGUGCACAUCUUGACGGUACCUAAUAAGAAAGCCACGGCUAACUACGUG
RNAcentral lists this ribosomal RNA (497 nucleotides) under uncultured bacterium. Its description in RNAcentral is "partial 16S ribosomal RNA". It matches the Rfam family "Bacterial small subunit ribosomal RNA", at positions 28 to 507 of the family's 1533-position model. The record is from RNAcentral.